CUAUGAAGUAGGCUCCCGCAAGGGCAUCUGUCGAGGUGCUGCAUGGCUGUCGUCACCUCUUGUCGUGAGAUGUUGGGUUAAGUCCCGCAACGAGCGCAACCCUUGUCUUCUGUUGCCAUCAGGUCAAGCUGGGCACUCUGAAGAGACUGCCGGUGACAAACCGGAGGAAGGUGGGGAUGACGUCAAGUCAGCAUGGCCUUUAUGUCUGGGGCCACACACGUGCUACAAUGGCAGGUACAAACCGUUGCGAGCCCGCGAGGGGGAGCUAAUCGGACAAAGCCUGUCUCAGUUCGGAUUGUAGGCUGCAACUCGCCUGCAUGAAGUUGGAAUCGCUAGUAAUCGCGGAUCAGCAUGCCGCGGUGAAUACGUUCCCGGGCCUUGUACACACCGCCCGUCACAUCACGAAAGCUGGCUGUACUAGAAGUAGCUGAGCUAACCCG
Molecule: ribosomal RNA, 440 nt
Filed under: uncultured bacterium
Lineage: Bacteria
Description: bacterial SSU rRNA
Rfam family: Bacterial small subunit ribosomal RNA
Source: RNAcentral